RNAcentral lists this ribosomal RNA (513 nucleotides) under uncultured bacterium. RNAcentral's name for it is "partial 16S ribosomal RNA". It matches the Rfam family "Bacterial small subunit ribosomal RNA", at positions 28 to 523 of the family's 1533-position model. The record is from RNAcentral.
GAUGAACGCUGGCGGCGUGCCUAAUACAUGCAGGUCGAGCGAACAGAUAAGGAGCUUGCUCCUUUGAAGUUAGCGGCGGACGGGUGAGUAACACGUGGGUAACCUACCUAUAAGACUGGGAUAACUUCGGGGAACCGGAGCUAAUACCGGACAACAUUUAGAACCGCAUGGUUCUAAAGUGAAAGAUGGUUUUGCUAUCACUUAUAGAUGGACCCGCGCCGUAUUAGCUAGUUGGUAAGGUAACGGCUUACCAAGGCGACGAUACGUAGCCGACCUGAGAGGGUGAUCGGCCACACUGGAACUGAGACACGGUCCAGACUCCUACGGGAGGCAGCAGUAGGGAAUCUUCCGCAAUGGGCGAAAGCCUGACGGAGCAACGCCGCGUGAGUGAUGAAGGGUUUCGGCUCGUAAAACUCUGUUAUUAGGGAAGAACAAAUGUGUAAGUAACUGUGCACAUCUUGACGGUACCUAAUCAGAAAGCCACGGCUAACUACGUGCCAGCAGCCGCAGUAA